UUCGUAGGUGGCUUGCUAAGUCAGACGUGAAAUCCCUCAGCUCAACUGGGGAACUGCGUCUGAGACUGGCGAGCUUGAGUGCAGGAGAGGAAUGCGGAAUUCCAGGUGUAGCGGUGAAAUGCGUAGAUAUCUGGAGGAACACCGGUGGCGAAGGCGGCGUUCUGGACUGCAACUGACACUGAGGAACGAAAGCCAGGGAGCAAACG
This 206-nucleotide ribosomal RNA is filed under the name uncultured bacterium. RNAcentral describes it as "partial 16S ribosomal RNA". It matches the Rfam family "Bacterial small subunit ribosomal RNA", at positions 568 to 774 of the family's 1533-position model. The record is from RNAcentral.